UACGGAGGGUGCGAGCGUUAUCCGGAAUCACUGGGUUUAAAGGGUGCGUAGGCGGUUUGAUAAGUCAGUGGUGAAAGGCCGUCGCUUAACGAUGGGACUGCCAUUGAUACUGUUAGACUUGAAUCAGGAUGAGGUUGGCGGAAUGUGGCAUGUAGCGGUGAAAUGCUUAGAUAUGCCAUGGAAUACCGAUUGCGAAGGCAGCUGACUGGACCUGAAUUGACGCUGAGGCACGAAAGCGUGGGGAGCGAACAGG
Molecule: ribosomal RNA, 253 nt
Filed under: uncultured bacterium
Lineage: Bacteria
Description: partial 16S ribosomal RNA
Rfam family: Bacterial small subunit ribosomal RNA
Source: RNAcentral